RNAcentral lists this ribosomal RNA (181 nucleotides) under uncultured bacterium. RNAcentral describes it as "partial 16S ribosomal RNA". It matches the Rfam family "Bacterial small subunit ribosomal RNA", at positions 1319 to 1500 of the family's 1533-position model. The record is from RNAcentral.
CAUGAAGUUGGAAUCACUAGUAAUCGCGGAUCAGCAUGCCGCGGUGAAUGCGUUCUCGGGCCUUGUACACACCGCCCGUCACACCAUGAGAGUCGGGAACACCCGAAGUCCGUAGCCUAACCGCAAGGGGGCGCGGCCGAAGGUGGGCUCGAUAAUUGGGGUGAAGUCGUAACAAGGUAAC